Molecule: ribosomal RNA, 460 nt
Filed under: uncultured bacterium
Lineage: Bacteria
Description: partial 16S ribosomal RNA
Rfam family: Bacterial small subunit ribosomal RNA
Source: RNAcentral
CCUACGGGAGGCAGCAGUGAGGAAUAUUGGUCAAUGGACGAGAGUCUGAACCAGCCAAGUAGCGUGAAGGAUGACUGCCCUAUGGGUUGUAAACUUCUUUUAUAAAGGAAUAAAACGAGGCACGUGUGCCUUUUUGCAUGUACUUUAUGAAUAAGGAUCGGCUAACUCCGUGCCAGCAGCCGCGGUAAUACGGAGGAUCCGAGCGUUAUCCGGAUUUAUUGGGUUUAAAGGGAGCGUAGAUGGGUUGUUAAGUCAGUUGUGAAAGUUUGCGGUUCAACCGUAAAAUUGCAAUUGAUACUGGCAGUCGUGAGUACAGUUGAGGUAGGCGGAAUUCGUGGUGUAGCGGUGAAAUGCUUAGAUAUCACGAAGAACCCCGAUUGCGAAGGCAGCUUACUAAACUGUGACUGACAUUGAUGCUCGAAAGUGUGGGUAUCAAACAGGAUUAGAUACCCCAGUAGUC